UCUAAGCACAUGCCUUAAUACGGUGAAGCCGCGAAUAGCUCAUUACAACAGCCAUCGUUUACUAGAACUUAGUUAUCUUACUUGGAUAACUGUGGCAAUUCUAGAGCUAAUACAUGCAAAAGAGCUCCGCCCGCAAGGAACGAGCGCAUUUAUUAGAAUAAAAACCAAUCGGGCUUCGGCCUGUAAUUUGGUGAAUCUGAAUAACUUUGCCAAUCGCACAGUCCUAGUACUGGCGAUGUAUCUUUCAAGUGUCUGCCUUAUCAACUUUCGAUGGUAGGUUACACGCCUACCAUGGUAGUAACGGGUAACGGAGAAUAAGGGUUCGACUCCGGAGAGGGAGCCUGAGAAACGGCUACCACAUCCAAGGAAGGCAGCAGGCGCGCAAAUUACCCACUUCCAGAACGGAGAGGUAGUGACGAAAAAUAACGAGACAGUCCUCUUCGAGGUCUGUCAUCGGAAUGGGUACAAUUUAAAUCCUUUAACGAGGAUCUAUUGGAGGGCAAGUCUGGUGCCAG
Molecule: ribosomal RNA, 515 nt
Filed under: Dorylaimida environmental sample
Lineage: Eukaryota; Metazoa; Nematoda; Enoplea; Dorylaimida
Description: SSU rRNA
Rfam family: Eukaryotic small subunit ribosomal RNA
Source: RNAcentral